RNAcentral lists this ribosomal RNA (497 nucleotides) under uncultured bacterium. Its description in RNAcentral is "partial 16S ribosomal RNA". It matches the Rfam family "Bacterial small subunit ribosomal RNA", at positions 28 to 507 of the family's 1533-position model. The record is from RNAcentral.
GACGAACGCUGGCGGUGUGCCUAAUACAUGCAAGUUGAGCGCUGAAGGUUGGUACUUGUACCAACUGGAUGAGCAGCGAACGGGUGAGUAACGCGUGGGGAAUCUGCCUUUGAGCGGGGGACAACAUUUGGAAACGAAUGCUAAUACCGCAUAAAAACUUUAAACACAAGUUUUAAGUUUGAAAGAUGCAAUUGCAUCACUCAAAGAUGAUCCCGCGUUGUAUUAGCUAGUUGGUGAGGUAAAGGCUCACCAAGGCGAUGAUACAUAGCCGACCUGAGAGGGUGAUCGGCCACAUUGGGACUGAGACACGGCCCAAACUCCUACGGGAGGCAGCAGUAGGGAAUCUUCGGCAAUGGACGAAAGUCUGACCGAGCAACGCCGCGUGAGUGAAGAAGGUUGUCGGAUCGUAAAACUCUGUUGGUAGAGAAGAACGUUGGUGAGAGUGGAAAGCUCAUCAAGUGACGGUAACUACCCAGAAAGGGACGGCUAACUACGUG